AGAUUGCCGGCGUUUAAAGGUGCCUGACGGCGAGUGUUUGGCCGUCAGGUUAAACGGGAAGAAUGGUGCAAAACCAACGCUGCCCCCGCAACGGUAAUGAGCGCGCUACAGGUUUCCAUGAACGUUAUUGUUCAUGUUGCAACUUGCGUAACGGCUUCAAAAAACCACUGUAUAGCUUGAUUAGUCGGAUCAGUUGAAUUGGACGCUAUCCACUGAAAUAUUGCUGAUAUGGGAAGGUGAAGCCUGAUAUUUUACAUGCCUGAUUCAGGUGUUGGGUAUCGCUCUAAGCCCGGAUACCGGCCUUAUACAUCCAUUUGAAC
Molecule: non-coding RNA, 320 nt
Filed under: Thalassocella blandensis
Lineage: Bacteria; Pseudomonadati; Pseudomonadota; Gammaproteobacteria; Cellvibrionales; Cellvibrionaceae
Source: RNAcentral